Molecule: ribosomal RNA, 479 nt
Filed under: uncultured bacterium
Lineage: Bacteria
Description: partial 16S ribosomal RNA
Rfam family: Bacterial small subunit ribosomal RNA
Source: RNAcentral
GAUGAACGCUGGCGGCGUGCUUAACACAUGCAAGUCGAACGAAGCACUUAAGAUUGAUUCUUCGGAUGACGUCUUUUGUGACUUAGUGGCGGACGGGUGAGUAACGCGUGGGUAACCUGCCUCACACAGGGGGAUAACUGUUAGAAAUGACUGCUAAUACCGCAUAACCCGAUAGGAUCGCAUGAUCCAGACGGAAAAGAUUUAUCGGUGUGAGAUGGACCCGCGUCUGAUUAGCUAGUUGGUGAGGUAACGGCCCACCAAGGCGACGAUCAGUAGCCGGCCUGAGAGGGUGAGCGGCCACAUUGGGACUGAGACACGGCCCAAACUCCUACGGGAGGCAGCAGUGGGGAAUAUUGCACAAUGGGGGAAACCCUGAUGCAGCGACGCCGCGUGAGUGAAGAAGUAUUUCGGUAUGUAAAGCUCUAUCAGCAGGGAAGAAAAUGACGGUACCUGACUAAGAAGCCCCGGCUAACUACGUG